This is a long non-coding RNA of Astatotilapia calliptera (eastern happy), 3040 nucleotides long. NCBI's taxonomy places the organism in Eukaryota, Metazoa, Chordata, Actinopteri, Cichliformes, Cichlidae. The record is from Ensembl.
ACUGUUAUGAUAUUUUGAUACCACGGUAAGCAUUUACAGGAUAUUGUUUUAUACAGGAAAACUGUUACUCAAUAAGGCCGAUCUACUAGUUGUUUUUCUCUUUCUCUGUGACCCAAGAAUUAAUGUGUAGGACUUACAGGCUGGUACCUCAAGGUCGAAAACACCACAGAGAUGAGACCACUUCCUUACUCCCAUCCUCCCUUUUUCUUUAUCUCCUGGAAAAGGCUCGUUAAAGGCUAGGUGGUUUGUUUCAGAAUUCACUGAUGAAAGAACUCUGUAUUCUAUGUCUAGGAGUGUAUUUUGCUGGGAUGAUCAUAAAUUAUAGCUGAACUGAUAAACUACACACAGGAUACUUCUUUGCUCAGAAGGCAGGAAGACGUUUCCUUAUUUGGUCUGUACCGGUUUGAACUGGGAAAGCUGACACACGAACCUUUUUUCAUCUAUAUAAACUGCUGUGUAUCAAAUAAACCUUUGAGUCGAUUGGGAAGGCAACCUAAAGCAGUCUCUGUUUUCUUGUUCUCCCAAGCUGCUCCCGAGCUCGUACUAACACGCUGAAUGGCAUACCUGAGUGUUACUUUAAAUAAUUAGGAAUCUUAGAAGGAAAGGACAGAACUCUGCUUAUCGCUCACGCCACGGAGGAAACCCGGGAAGGCAAUUUCCUUCAAUUUUGGUGUCAGAAGUGGGAUGCUGACAGAAGCCUUUCCCCUCCACAGUUCCACCAGUGGAGACAAGGAGAUGCAUGUUGGAGAAGCCACUAAAACCAAGGACACUCUGGGAGGCCGCGUGUUCCAGCCCCCAGGCUUUACUGGCAGUGACGAAGAACCAGCAUCCUCACAGACGGACAACCUCAGUGGAUUCAUGCCAGCAGGGUUAAGACCAGCCCAAUCGGACCAUCUCAGGCGUCGGAUCAAGCAGACGACAUCUCCGGCGAGCCAGCGCCCGGAACUAGAGCAAAUAAACACACGGGUAGAUGACAUCUCCGGCGAGCCAGCGCCAGGAUCCAAUUUACACACACACACAAUCACUGAUUAAGACACAACGUCUGAAAGAACAACAACAAGGUACUCAAACAUCCAGCAGGAACAGAAAGCCAAAAGUACCACAUGAUGUCUAACCUGAUAAAGCCAGACUCAUUUCAUCCUGAUAAUGGAGAAAAUGAAAUGCCCAUUGUCAUCAUACGACGCUUAUUCUGUGUCUCUCGAACCUGGGACCAGGCCAGGAGACAACUGAAGAACUGUUUUUCUUAUAUACUUUCUUAUAUAUUUAGGUUAUUUAUCAUAUCUAUCGCAUUAACCUUAGGAUUUCUCUUUGCUAUUUUGUAUUGUAAACUGCAACCAUGUUCAUAUUUCUGCAGGUCAUAUUUUGCUGACUAUACCUCAUGCUCCAUUUUGCAAGACACCUACUUAAUGCACUCCUCACGCUCCCUAAAAUCAGUAAAUAGCAACAUAGACGCCACUAAUAAACCAUUUUAUGCACCCUCUAGAACAGGAGCUAACGCCUGGUAUGAAAAUGCCAGAACAGCCGCUCGUGAUUUAGGAAACAGUAACUGUUAUGUCUGUUCAAAGGCUAAUCCAGAACAGGUUAUAGUAGGAUACCCCAUAUCCGGUUUCCCCCUCACUGAGGGACUAGAGAAAAUCAGCGGAAAUAAUGCUCUCUUUAAAAACGCUUUACAGUUGACUCUGAGCCCUCUCGACUGCCUACUUAGACACACACAUAGAUUAUACAAAGGAUAACUAUAUAUUCUUCUCUGACUCCCCAGGUGCACGCUGUAAUGAGACAUGGCUAGCUGUCUCUGUGGCUGAAGUUGUAUCAUAUCUGGAGGAACACACACACAGUUCAAGUUCGAGCAGAGAAUCGAUCAUUGUUCCCCCAGACGGUGUAUUAAAUGACACUGACUGGGGGGAGUUAGUUAAAUCACACAUGGUCACGCGCCUAACUAGACCAAUCCCACGUGCUUAUUGGUUGUGCAAUAAUACUCUUAGAUUAGCUUUACCUGUUAAUUGGACCGGUACCUGUGGUCUAGUAACCGUUGAUGUAUGCUGUACUUUCAUUCCCAAUAAUACUGCUCCUAACGGUUCAUUCACACAAGCUAUGAAUAGACUUGAAGCAUUGCAGAUAGAACUAAUUGCCAAUACAGGUCACGGUCAGUGGCUACAUAAGUGGCUACAGGACACGUUUGGAAGAUGGAAGGAACUAAUUGUAGCCUUUGUAACCGUUGCAGCAUGUUUUUGAUGAUUAUUGUCUGUUGUGUGGUACCCUGUGUACGUUCAAUGAUAACCCGUAUAGCUACUAGUACAGCUACUUCAAUGUAUUUGCAAUUGGCACAAAUUGACCCAGAUUAUGUGUCAGAUGUCAUCAAUGAUGUUCCUGAUGUGUAUAUUGAACAUUAGGUUGUGAACUAUUACAUUUUAUGAUUUGCUUUUUAUAUUAUGUUAUUACAUUUGUGAUUUUUCCUUUCUAUUUGAGUUAUUAUUUUUAAAAAAUAAUAAAAGAGGGGAACUGUUAUGAUAUUUUGAUACCACGGUAAGCAUUUACAGGAUAUUGUUUUAUACAGGAAAACUGUUACUCAAUAAGGCCGAUCUACUAGUUGUUUUUCUCUUUCUCUGUGACCCAAGAAUUAAUGUGUAGGACUCACAAGCUGGUACCUGAAGGUCGAAAACACCACAGAGAUGAGACCACUUCCUUACUCCCAUCCUCCCUUUUUCUUUAUCUCCUGGAAAAGGCUCGUUAAAGGCUAGGUGGUUCGUUUCAGAAUUCACUGAUGAAAGAACUCUGUAUUCUAUGUCUAGGAGUGUAUUUUGCUGGGAUGAUCAUAAAUUAUAGCUGAACUGAUAAACUACACACAGGAUACUUCUUUGCUCAGAAGGCAGGAAGACGUUUCCUUAUUUGGUCUGUACCGGUUUGAACUGGGAAAGCUGACACACGAACCUUUUUUCAUCUAUAUAAACUGCUGUGUAUCAAAUAAACCUUUGAGUCGAUUGGGAAGGCAACCUAAAGCAGUCUCUGUUUUCUUGUUCUCCCAAGCUGCUCCCGAGCUCGU